GGCAGCACCACAACGCGCUUUCCGUUUGUCUUUGGUUUCUCUUGUACCAAUUACUUGCCUACAAGGAAGGACACAGAAGCUGUGCUGUGCUGUAAUAAUGCCUUUCUAUUCUGUCUUUUGUUCGUUCGAGUUACAAUUACAAGCUUCAAGAUCAUUCUACAAUAAUGCAUCUAUGUAGUUGAACUUCAUUGCAUAGAUGCAUCUUGAAAAUUAUUUAUAUCCUGCUAUGUUUCUUUCCAUUUUCAGACAUCAGGACUACUUGAAGUUCUCCUACAUCUUCUGAGUUGCCAGUUGCCACAACAAAACCAACAGGAAGCAAGGGAAAGGGAGAAAAGCUGGGAAAUCAGAUUUAACUGAUUAUGAAUAGAAUUGGGAUUACCAAGUGAUGUUUACUGGAUAAUUUUGUUGAGCAUAUUCAUUUAUUAUAAUGAAGGAAUUGUGGCUUUGAAACACAAGGCGUCAAUCCUGAUAUAGUGACAAUGGCAAAGGGAAUCUGUAAUGGGCUUCCACGAAGAGCAGUAGUGACGACGCCUGGGAUUGCUAGUUUUGGGGGAAACCCUGUGUGCUCUGCAGGUGGACUUGCAGUCCUGAGGGUAAUUGACAAAGAGAGGCAUCAAGAACACUAUAUAUACUGAAGUCGGUUCGCACUUGAUUCAUCAUGUGAAACUUCUGCAGCAGAAGCAUGAUAGUAUGUGUUCCUUCUAUAAUAUAUAUUGUACAAAAGAUUUCUGGUGUAUGUUUUUGUUUAUUUGAUCGGCUAGUUCUUGUCGCCCCUCCUCCUCAUAUGUAAUCGAUUUCUACUCCUGUUUAUGUGGCCUGGUGCUUAAUAAAGACCCGAGAUAUGCAGGUAUGCAGCAGAUACUGUUGGUACAAUAGUAGUCCAAAGGUCACUUGGAAAGUAGGUUCUUUAUUAAUCCCUUAAAACUUCUGUAGCAGGCGCAUAGUUGCAUGUCUUCCUAUCAUAUAUGAAUGAUUUGUGUGGUAAUAUGUCUAUUUCUUUUCUAUAGGUAUGUGAAUGUUAACUUUUGCUGCUCCUUGGGGAUGUCGACUACAAUAGGUUCAUUGAAAUCUGUUAGUAGUAGUAAUCAUUUUAGCACCUCAAAUCAAUGCGCUACGUAGGUAUGGUUGAGUUGGUGGUUAAAUGUUUGAUUUUUUGGUCUAGUAUGUUGUAUUUAUUUCUUUAUCAUCCAUGUCAACUCUCAAAUCCCUAUGUACUGUUGCGUCCAAGGGCUCAUUACUAUGUCAUGCUAUUCUAAUGGUGGUGGUAAACUAGCACGUCUGUUUUCUUGAUUUGAGAGCAGGGUGCAAUAAUUUAAGGCUUGUUCUUGGAUUAGCAAAAACUAUUUCUUAGCCGAUGCUGAUCACUGUAGCUGCACAUGAGCUUUGCAAGGUUGCCAAAUCUCAUGCCUUUAGUGACUACGGCUUCUUGAGAUAUGAUCAAAGCUCUAAAAUCAAACAUUGCAAGACAAAUUUCAAACCAAUUUUACACUUGUUCUUGGGAUCUUGUUGUUUUUCCCACUAGAGUCGCAUUUGAAUCUUUGAGCAAUUUGAACUUUGCUAAUUAAAUAUUUUAUUAGGAUACUUUGAGUUUGGAUUAUGAACGUAAUAAACUCUCUUUUCCUCUCUUUCUCUAUAUAUAUGGGGUAGUUGGUAUAAAACAAAGAGGGCAGCUUUGAUGCCAUAGUUGUGUGGAAGCAAAUUGGGUGAAAAAAGUUAACUCUAAUUGCAUAGCUAGAGGGCCAAUAGCAAUUGCCGUAAUUUGAUAAAAUCAAAGAAGGCAAAAUGAUAUUUUCUUCCUUGAAUUUGACAAGGAGUGAGAUUUUAAUACGGUAGCCCUACAAAGCAAUUAUAACGGUUUUAUCGUGGCAAAAUUGAGGACACUUAAUAUUUGCCUUAUUAGAUUAAAAGGACGAUUUUUUAUUUAUCCUAUUUGACAUUACAAUUGAUUCUAUAUAAGAACACUUACUUUCAAUAAAAAUAAGCAAUGACUCAAGUUCUUUUUCCCUCUCGCAAACCCUAGCCUCCCCUCUCUUUUUCUCUCUCUCAAACCCUAGCCUCCCUUACCCUUCCUUCAUCAAUUAGGGGCUGCCAUGGAUGUUUUCAUCCAUGGUAAGCUCCUUUUCCCCUUUUAUUUCCAGUUUUUAAUUUAUUUUCUUGUUUUGUUCAAUAAAUUAGUCUCUCUUUAUGAGAGUUUCUCAAACCCUAUUAUGGGGUUUUUAGUUUCUGUUUUGGAAAUCUUCUUCUCCCCUAUGGGAGUUGUGAGUAUGGUUCUUUUGUUUUUAGGUAUGAGAAAUUAUUCUCAUUGGUUGAAGUUCAAGACUCAACAUGAAGGUAUUGGAAUCUCGGAUGCGGUCAACCUGACUCGAUCAAGAAUGUUCUUCCCAAACUAUAUCAGAAUGAUAGACUUCCUCAUCAAUAGCUGCUUGAUUCAGCAAAUACAAGAGGGUUGUGUUGUAUUGUUCGAUCUGGUUCAUUGUAGUUUCUUCGAAGACGAAUUUGAUUUAGUCUCAUUUAAUUGUAUCUUGUUUUACUUUAAUACCUAUUGUAGAUGUCGUUUGACCUUCAAUUAAUGAAAUUUCUCUUUCAAAAAAAAGCAAUGACUCAAGUUUAAUAUUAUGAAGAGAACUGAACACCUUUCUUAAUAUAAAUAUGUAAUAACUAGUUUAA
This is a long non-coding RNA of Beta vulgaris subsp. vulgaris (sugar beet), 2667 nucleotides long. RefSeq lists it as uncharacterized. Lineage: Eukaryota; Viridiplantae; Streptophyta; Magnoliopsida; Caryophyllales; Amaranthaceae. The transcript has 2 exons. The record is from RefSeq and is a predicted model, not a curated record.